RNAcentral lists this ribosomal RNA (239 nucleotides) under uncultured Lactobacillus sp. Its description in RNAcentral is "partial 16S ribosomal RNA". It matches the Rfam family "Bacterial small subunit ribosomal RNA", at positions 123 to 354 of the family's 1533-position model. Lineage: Bacteria; Bacillati; Bacillota; Bacilli; Lactobacillales; Lactobacillaceae. The record is from RNAcentral.
AACCUGCCCAAGAGAUCGGGAUAACACCUGGAAACAGAUGCUAAUACCGGAUAACAACAGAUGAUGCCUAUCAACUGUUUAAAAGAUGGUUCUGCUAUCACUCUUGGAUGGACCUGCGGUGCAUUAGCUAGUUGGUAGGGUAACGGCCUACCAAGGCGAUGAUGCAUAGCCGAGUUGAGAGACUGAUCGGCCAUAUUGGGACUGAGACACGGCCCAAACUCCUACGGGAGGCAGCAGGG